Molecule: long non-coding RNA, 861 nt
Organism: Lycium ferocissimum
Lineage: Eukaryota; Viridiplantae; Streptophyta; Magnoliopsida; Solanales; Solanaceae
Exons: 2
Source: RefSeq, a predicted model, not a curated record
ACCACCUAAAUCCCCAAACUAAUUCUUCAACCCCAUUUUCAUCCCAACCAAACGACCCAAGUAUUCUUCACCCAAAUUCAAUGGAAAUCUGAAAUCCCUAACUAGCCAUCACCUCCACCCGUCUCCCAUUCACGUCACCUCUCCGCCGGCUCCACCGUCGGACCGCUGGAUCAAAGGGGUCAUCGAUGCCACUGUCAUCAUCAAUCACCUUUUCUCCCAUCUCCCUUUUCUGAAAAAUAGAGCUCAACAACUCCUAAAAGGUCAAUUGAGACCUCUGAAAAAGGGGAAGAGCAAAGAUCCAUCAGCCCAUCUCUCAAUCCGAUGGAUACAAACUAGAAUCGGCAAUAUUGCUACACCAAACGGCUCUUUCUCUUUCAAAUCACCUCUGAAAAGUUCUCGGCUGAGAAAAGACCACUUCAAGCGGAUUCCGAGACUCGACGACGAUAAUAGCCUCAGUUCACUGUCACGGAGAAGGUAAUCACACUCGUCCUCUCUUCGUCUUUCAUUUUUAUAAGAAGUAGAAAUGUAGUCGUUCAAGUAUUUCUCGUCGAUUACUUUGUUUGGUUGGUUGGAAUGUGUUCUCUCCUCGUUUGUUGUAAAUUAGUGUAAGGCGACUAAUUUCGUCGAAUAUGUGUUUAACCUCGUCGCUUGGCUAACUCUAUGUUGCAGUCAUUUUUUUUUUAGUCUGUGACGUUCCUAUUUCUAACAUAAAUCAGUGAAAAAAAUGACCUAUAGAAACCAUGAAUUUAACAAGGGAAAACUACUGAUUUACGAUAGUAUAAUAUGAGCUUCUAUGCAGAUUUGGUAUUCCCUUGUUGUUAUCUUCUCGUAUGAUCAAGUAAAUAUUUUUUUUUUUUAAAA